This is a small nuclear RNA of Rattus norvegicus (Norway rat), 183 nucleotides long. Ensembl annotates it as U2 spliceosomal RNA. The record is from Ensembl. NCBI's taxonomy places the organism in Eukaryota, Metazoa, Chordata, Mammalia, Rodentia, Muridae.
AUCGCUUCUCGGCCUUUUGGCUAAGAUCAAGUGUAAAAUCUGCAUCUUAUGAUAUCUAAUGUUUCUAACAAAGUUUGAAAAUACUCAAAGGAAAGAAUUUCUUGUUUACUUCCUUUUCUUUUCUGAAAAAGACAUCAAUGCGUCUCUUUCCCCUGACAGUGUCUUGUCAUCUUUGUACUACUU